CAGAUGAGCUAAAAAUCUCUGAAAUACAGUGUCUUAAGAUUUUUUUAAUGUGUCAAGUAGGCAUAGUACUAGAGCCGAUUUACGCAAUCGAAUACCGCCGGAAGUAGAACAUUUAUGUUAACACCGGUUUCGUAUUUUCACGUGAAAACGGCCGAAGACUGAGAGGUUAUCAACAAAUUAUAAGUUUACGGGUACCAUGAGGAUUUUUCAUGCAUUUAAACGAAAGAAGUACAAGCGAACAGAUGACACAUUAAGUGGCUGCAGAAGCUUGAAAAGUUUGAUAGAGCAGGGGCAGUCAAAACAGUGGGAUACUACUUCUAUGGUGUCCAACAUGUCUAGUCAGGUUGACAGAAGUGAAAGAUGGUCUGAUGGUACAAUGAUGUACAAAUGAUACUCUUUAACAAGUUUAACAUGUCAAGGUGUAAAAUGUUCUGUGGAUUCAUAUGAUGAGAAUGCCAGUGUUGACCUGUAUGACUUAAUUAAACACAGAUAUUGAUACCUUCAGAUAUAUACCUGUGAAAUCUUCAGUGUCACCGUUCAGCUGUUGUUCAAGAUCAGUGUCUGCAGCUUGCACAGUUUAGUAUAGAGGAGCCUCCUGAAUCAACUUUGUUACAUAUUUGCUGUUAUUGUACGACACACAUGUAGAGAACAGCAAGUCCUGUCCAGCGGUGCAUGUAAAUGUGAUUCAGAAACUUUGAGAAUAUGUAAACAUUACACUGUUAUAAUGUUCAAAAUACUGUCUUGUAGUGUAUCAGUACUGUUUUUGUCUCAGUUUAUAGCACAGUAUGUUCACAAAUCAAACUUAAGACCAUAGUGAUCAGUAUUAUUAAAAUCAUUAAUGAUUUGUAUGGUGACAAAAUUUAAUUUCAUGCAAUACCACAGUAAAACGUUUGAUAAUUUUUGCUUUUAAAGUUGUAAGUUUAAGGUUGGCAUAAAUUGUUUUUUUUUCUUUCAUAAAUCUAAAAAGUGAUUGGUCAUUAUAACUGCAAUAUCAUUUUAGUAUGACAAAGUUUAUAUUGAACUAAAACACUAAUGUAAAUUUUUGAACUAAUCAAUGCAUUUUCUUCAGUCUUAAAACAUUUGUUUAUCGUAUGUGUCAUGGCCCAUAACUCCUCCAUAUUUCUUGUGUUUUGUCCUUUUUCAUUUCACUGAAGAGUAGGUAGAGGUAUUGCACAUCCAUUUUUUAGCAUCCUGAUUUUGUAAAGUGUUGUAUAUAAGGUUUUAUCUCGGAAUUAUGUCUCAUCUAAAGGUGGAGAGAGGUAUUAAUUAUGCCUUCUCGUCUGUCCGCAUUAAGCCUGUCUGGCUUUAAGAGGACAAGCUGCUGGCCAGAUUUUGAUGAAACUUCACAGGACUGAUCAGUACCAAGCAUAGUGUUGUGCAUAUCGCUUGCAUGUUUCGUUUUGAUGCACUAAAUUGCAGCCAGAGCUAAAAAUAGAAAAAUCUUGUCGGCUUUCACAGGUUAAAACUACUUAACAGAUUUUGAUGAAACUUCACGAGUGAUCAGUACCAAGUAUAUUUUUGCAUAUCACUGACACUUUCCAUUUUGCUGCACAAAAUAGCCGCCACAGCUAAAGGUAUACAUAGAUUGGAGACAUGUUUUGUCAUAAAAAUACCUAAAACACCUUCCACUUUGUUAAUGAAAAAUGUAACAAACGUCUUACAAUUGCAAACUGUAAUAAUUUGACAUUAAAUGCACUAGUUCCAUAACUGCAUUUGGCUUUUUCAUAAUUAUUGCCCUUUUCUUACCAUAGCAAUAUUUUGUGUAACAUGUUACUUCAUUAAGCAUCAUAAGAUCAGAAAGUUCUAUGACUCAGAAAUGUUGGCCCUUUUGUACUUGUCAUGAGUAUGUUUUCAGUAUUUUAAAUUGUCAUUACUUUUUGUUGUGCCAGUUUACGGAAAUGAAGACUUAGUUGUCCAAAUGGUGUGCCUGUCCUGAUUUGUUUGUCUGGACAAUAUACUAUUGAUUAGUCUUCACGAAUCUUUGCAGGUUAAUUUCCUUAAGUUCCCUGUCAACUUUGAUAGUGGCAUGGUUACUUUAGAAACACUAAAGUGAUGUCACCUCUGUACUAGUCAAACGUUUUGUAUCUCAGAUUUUAUAUCACAUUACAGGCUACUGGUCUUCAGCAGCCUCCAUAAAACUUUCAUAAAAGUUUCCAAAAAUGUUGUAUUUUGAUUUGAACUGGCAUUAUUCAAACAGUACUUUUUGAUUUUCUGUUACUAUGAAGUUGCCUUUUCUUAGAAAUUGGUUGGCUUAUUUUUGUAGCUAUGUUCUUUAUCUCAUGAAAAUUUCCAUUUUUAGCUCACCUGUCACAAAGUGACAAGGUGAGCUUUUGUGAUCACGCGGUGUCCGUCGUCCGUCGUGCGUACGUGCGUCCGUGCGUCCGUAAACUUUUGCUUGUGACCAUUCUAGAGGUCACAUUUUUCAUGGGAUCUUUAUGAAAGUUGGUCAGAAUGUUCAUCUUGAUGAUAUCUAGGUCAAGUUCGAAACUGGGUCACGUGCCGUCAAAAACUAGGUCAGUAGGUCUAAAAAUAGAAAAACCUUGUGACCUCUCUAGAGGCCAUAUAUUUCAGAAGAUCUUCAUGAAAAUUGGUAAGAAUGUUCACCUUGGUGAUAUCUAGGUCAAGUUCGAAACUAGGUCACGUCGGUUCAAAAACUAGGUCAGUAGGUCUAAAAAUAGAAAAACCUUGUGACCUCUCUAGAGGCCAUAUUUUUCAUUAGAUCUUCAUGAAUAUUGGUCAGAAUGUUUACCUUGAUGAUAUCUAGGUCAAGUUCGAAACUCGGUCACGUAGGGUCAAAAACUAGGUCAUUAGGUCUAAAAAUAGAAAAACCUUGUGACCUCUCUAGAGGCCAUAUUUCUCAAUGGAUCUUCAUGAAAAUUGGCCAGAAUGUUUACCUUGAUGAUAUCUAGGUCAAGUUCGAAACUGGGUCACAUGGGGUUAAAAACUAGGUCAGUAGAUCUAAAAAUAGAAAAACCUUGUGACCUCUCUAGAGGCCAUAUUUUUCAUGAGAUCUUCAUGAAUAUUGGUCAGAAUGUUCACAUUGAUGAUAUCUAGGUCAAGUUCGAAACUGGGUCAUGUGGGGUCAAAAACUAGGUCAGUAGAUCUAAAAAUAGAAAAACCUUGUGACCUCUCUAGAGGCCAUAUUUCUCAAUGGAUCUUCAUGAAAAUUGGUCAGAAUGUUCACCUUGAUGAUAUCUAGGUCAAGUUCGAAACUGGGUCACGUGCGGUCAAAAACUAGGUCAGUAGGUCUAAAAAUAGGAAAACCUUGUGACCUCUCUAGAGGCAAUAUUUUUCAAUGGAUCUUCAUGAAAAUUGGUCAGAGUGUUUACCUUGAAGAUAUCUAGGUCAAGAUCGAAACUGGGUCACGUGGGGUUAAAAACUAGGUCAGUAGAUCUAAAAAUAGAAAAACCUUGUGACCUCUCUAGAGGCCAUAUUUCUCAGCGGAUCUUCAUGAAAAUUGGUGAGAAUGUUCAGCUUGAUGAUAUCUAGGUCAGAUUCGUAACUGGGUCAUGUGCGGUCAAAAACUAGGUCAGUAGGUCGAAAAAUAGAAAAACCUUGUGAACUCUCUAGAGGCCAUAUUUUUCACGAGAUCUUCAUGAAAAUUGGUGAGAAUGUUCACCUUGAUGAUAUCUAGGUCAAGUUUAAAAGUGGGUCACGUGCCUUCAAAAACUAGGUCAUUAGGUCAAAUAAUAGAAUAACCUUGUGACCUCUCUAGAGGCCAUAUUUUUCAAUGGAUCUUCAUGAAAAUUGGUCAGAAUUUUUUAUCUUGAUGAUAUCUAGGUCACAUGUGCUCAAAAACUAGGUCACUAUGUCAAAUAAUAGAAAUAACGACGUCAUACUCAGUUCAACACUGGGUCAUGUGGGGAUAGGUGAGCGAUUCAGGACCAUCAUGGUCCUCUUGUUGUAUAAUUCAUAUUUUUUACUGUCAACAAAGUGCAAUACCAUAUACUUAUCACUUUCAUUAACAUACCUGUACUAUUUUCAUAAAACAUUAUAUAAAUCAUUAUAUUUCAUAUAAACAUAAUUAAAUAAAUAUUUAAGAACA
Molecule: long non-coding RNA, 4045 nt
Organism: Mercenaria mercenaria
Lineage: Eukaryota; Metazoa; Mollusca; Bivalvia; Venerida; Veneridae
Exons: 5
Source: RefSeq, a predicted model, not a curated record